RNAcentral lists this ribosomal RNA (468 nucleotides) under uncultured bacterium. RNAcentral describes it as "partial 16S ribosomal RNA". It matches the Rfam family "Bacterial small subunit ribosomal RNA", at positions 28 to 507 of the family's 1533-position model. The record is from RNAcentral.
GACGAACGCUGGCGGCGUGCUUAACACAUGCAAGUCGAACGGAAAGGCCCUGCUUUUGUGGGGUGCUCGAGUGGCGAACGGGUGAGUAACACGUGAGUAACCUGCCCUUGACUUUGGGAUAACUUCAGGAAACUGGGGCUAAUACCGGAUAGGAGCUCCUGCUGCACGGUGGGGGGUGGAAAGUUUCGGCGGUUGGGGAUGGACUCGCGGCUUAUCAGCUUGUUGGUGGGGUAGUGGCUUACCAAGGGUUUGACGGGUAGCCGGCCUGAGAGGGUGACCGGCCACAUUGGGCCUGAGAUACGGCCCAGACUCCUACGGGCGGCAGCAGUGGGGAAUAUUGCACAAUGGGCGGAAGCCUGAUGCAGCAACGCCGCGUGCGGGAUGACGGCCUUCGGGUUGUAAACCGCUUUCGCCUGUGACGAAGCGUGAGUGACGGUAAUGGGUAAAGAAGCACCGGCUAACUACGUG